GGAGAAUUUUAGGGAUAAAACUUGAGAGAAUGAACGUUUUGGGGUGAACUGAGGUGAUCCGUAGGGGAAAGGAAGGGAGAAAUUUAGGGGUAAAACUUGAGGGGGGAGAAUGGACAUAUUGAGGUGAACUGAGGUAAUCAGUGGUGGAAAGGAAGGGAGAAUUUUAGGAGUAAAACCUGAGGGCAGAGAAUGGACGUUUUUAGGUAAACUCUGUGAUCAGUAGUGGAAUGGAAGGGAGAAUUUUAGGGGUAAAACCUGAGGGGAGAGAAUGGACAUUUUGAGGUAAACUGAGAUAAUCAGUAAUAGAAAGGUAGGGAAAGUUCUGGGGGUAAAACUUGAGGUCAUCUGUAAGACAACAGGAAUAUUCUGAAGGAAAAAUCUGUGGUAAUCCUUAGGGGCAGAAUGAACAUUUUGGGAAUAAGGUAAAUGUAGUCAUUGGGGUUUUAUGGUGGUUAAAAUCUAGGUAAUCUAUAGGAGACAAAAAUUAUGUUUUGGGGGGCAAAAUCUGUAAGGUAAUCUGUAGGGGAGAGAAUGAACAUUUUGAGGUAAAAAUGAAGUAAUCAGUAGUGGACAGGUAGGGAAAUUGUCGGGGAGUUAAAAUUCAAAUAAUCUGCAUGGGGGAGGCGCCUGUCAGGAGUCUGUCCCUGAACAGGUGCUCCAAAGGUGCUGUGUCUGUGAGUGGUGGUGUGGAAAUAACCUGUCCAAACUGCACCCACACCCAGGUACAGCCCAGACCCUGAGCAGAACCAAGCCCCUGUGAAUAAAGAGGGAUUGCUUCCAGGAGAAUGGAAUCACAGAGCUUGCAGUCCCCGUGGAGGAGGGUGGGCGCCUGGGUGGGGGGCUGGUUCUCCUCCAGAAGAGAGCGAUUGCACCGAAGCGCUUUCCCCUCUGUUAGGAAACCCGCCGUAAGAUCCCCUCGUUCUGGGCAGCACAAUGCUCCUGGGAUGCCUUUCCCAAAUAUUUUAUCCUCUUACACUUCCCGCAUCAAAUUUUGACUGUCCUGGAAUGAGGAGUCGGGUUUCAUGUCUCCCUCGUUAAAGGGGAGCAAAUCAGAGACCACAGGGACCAACAAAUAAAAUCAGCUUUAGAUUCAAAACUUUCAAAUCAGGACAAGCAAUCAGCCAGAGUGGCAAAACUUCUAAUUCUCGACAGAUUUGGCAGAGUAAAAAUAAAAUGUGCUUACAUUCUUAAUACUGCAUGUUAUCCCCGAGCUUUGUAAUGUGCAUCCAGAAAAAGAAGAAAGGGAGGGUGAUGUAGAGUGGCAUUCAAUAAGGACUUGGUCUUAAUGUUUUCCAAGAGUCAUUAACUCCAACGGGUCGGAGUCCAAGCCAGAUUUUUUUUUCUGGGGCUAAAAACGUUGUGGAGUGAGAGGAACUGUCAGGGAUCUGUUCUUGCACGCUGUUGCUGAAGAAAUUACGAGUCGUAUCAGAGGCAGUCACUAGAUUUUUUUUUCAGUGUUAGGGAAGAGCCAGAAAGGAAAGGCUGAAGGGGAGAGGCAGCAGCAGGGUUUUAUCUCCAAGGGGUGAAUCAGCAAGACGUUUGGUCCUGCUCCCAAGGGAUGCCUUUAUGCCUGCUCCUGUGUUGGCAGACCCGAGGCUGCUGUUUGUGUCUCUAACAGCAGAUAGAUCAGGUGAGAUCAAGGAGACCAUAUUUCCAUGUUUCCUUGGUUAGCUUACACUGUUAAAAGUGAGUUGUUGUUAGGAGGAAACAGAGCAUGUAAUAACUUGAGUUGGGUUUUAUUUGGCUUUGAGUCAUAAAUCUUAAAGGAAAGGAAAGAGCCAUCAUGUUCAUCCCCAAGUUUGUCAUACAAUCAGCAAGGGGCAAGGCAGUAGUGUGGGCAAGAAAAUGAAACAUGUGAAGGUACAAGUGCCAGCGGGGGGAAGUCACUGUUGCUUAUUGUCAGUUUUGGUGUGACACAGAAAGUUCAGCUAAUCCUCUUAGUUACAGAGACACACGGGUGGGGGGAGAUUGUUAUCUCAAGCAAUUUGCUGGCUCUACUCCUUUUUUUCCUUCGAGUUUCUUUUCGCCUAAUUGAGCAGCAUUUCUUCCUGGGACUGGUUUGCAAUAAUCCUGGGGCCUCAUCUGGGAAAACACUGAAAAAUAUAGAAGGGAGAAUCAGCCCAAGCGAGGCAGCUUCUAUCACCAUGAGUUUCUGUCUUCAGAAAGGUAUCAGGUUUGGCUCCAAGUGCCGAGGAUUAAAAAUAAGAUAAAGAUUCAAAGCGAUAUAGAACAGUCCGUUGAUCAGGGCAAGUAAUCUCUCAGAAAUGGUAUCUCAUCCAUGGGCUAGAGGGACAGGUAAUUAACAGCCGUUCAGAAAACCAGGACCUUGGCGGUCUGAGGGUGGAGCAGGGGGUGAGAAUUCCACUGGAGUGCAUCAGAAAUGUGUUGAUUCCAUUUUCAUUGCCAAAGGGAUGUAUCUGUGGUAAAUCUAAUCAAGAGUCAAAAGGUGAACAAGAACAAUAAUAACUGGGGAGGUUUGUUUUUAUUUAUCCAGGAGAUAAGGAUUCAACUACAGGAAUGGAAUGAGAAAAAGGUGCCUCUUUCUGAGCAGACAAUUAUUCCACCCACACUUACUCAUGAUCAAGGUGUUAAUAUUCUAUUGCUAAGGCUAUUUAACAGAUUCUCAGCCUCGAGGCUGGUAAUGUUUGUGCAGUUACUCUGCCAGUUGCCACAGGUGUGUCUUUUUACAGAAGAUCUGAAUAAUUAACAUGGGAUAGUCCUGAAGACGGCAGUAGCCAGGAGCCAUUCUUCAGGAGACUCCCAGCGUUCUUCCUGGUGCUGAGCAGGGUUGGUUUUACCAGUAGGAGGACACAUUUGAAAACCCUGUUUCCAUAUGCAGGCAGAGCCUUAGUCCCUGAAGGCACAGGCUGUUUCCAGGGGAGUAAAGGCUCUUGUUCCCAAGCCCUAGUGAUUCACCCUGGAGAAGUUUAGGAUAUCACCGUCCUGCAUUACUGAAGUGCUGGAGGCAGCUAUCCCAAAGAAGAGGUAUCCCAAAGAAGAGGUGGCCCAAUGAAUGCUGUGGGCAGUGCAAACUGUUUCAGCCCUGAGCCUGAUGCCCUCAUGUAAAUCUGAUUUCAGCUGAUACCAGUUUGCGGUGAUGUCCUGGACUGAGAACUGCAGACAUGAGUGAUUUAAUUCAAGAUCAUAUCAAUGUAUUUUGCUGUGGUGGCUAAAGAAUUUAUUACCUCUAGCUGUGGAGAUGGGUUACCUUUUCAGUUAGGGCAGCUAAACCCAGCAGGGACUGUCAGAGCCAUCAGAUGAGAGAGAAAGGGCCAGAGUGGACAUCAAUCGCAAAGCAGUUGUAAAAUAAGUAGUUAUAGUGCUUUUAAGAGAAAAGAUGUUCUGCUGAUGUCCCGCUAGCACAGAACAAGGAAGUGAGGAGUUUGGUAUGUACGUCACAUCUAGACAUUCUUUUUGACUUCGCUUAAGUUCUCCAGCCUCUCUCUAGUGUUGGCUAAUCCGGGGCUUUGGAACACCUCUGGGCUCACAGGUCCAGAAGCCGUGCCUGGAUCUGGGCUGUGACACAAACAUGGUGCCUGUUGCUGGUUCCCGAACAAAGGAAACGCCAAGGCUGGAUCAGACAGAACUCACAGUGUGUUCCACCAGCUUUUUGACUCAGGCUGUGUGUGGGAGCAGGGGCAGGAAGAAAGGAACGUGUACUUGUGCUACGUGUGACCAGCACAAAGCCACCAGACCACGAGAAACACAGGGAACGCUCUGCAAGGACUUCCCUGGGAGUCUGCAGCCCUUCACAAAGCAUAAGGAACAGCAUGGACAGGGCAGGAACUGCUGGAUUGGUGGACCUGCCUCUUCCCUCUGCAGGUCUGCACAGCCAGUUAGCGACAUGCAGGACUAUACCAUGCUCUCUAACCCUCUCAGUGAGCAUUUCAGUCUGUAAUGCUGAAAAUGUACGGAAGUCGUAUGUUUUUUAGCAACAGAUAACGCUUCCUGAAUCCACCUCUGUAGCAUUAGGCUGCAGCUCUCACAGUGAGAUGGCAUCCACAGCAGCAGAGGCCAUGAAGAAAAUUAGAAAUUUAUAAAACGCAUACAUAGUAAGUUUUAAAAAUAUGUUUAAUAAAUAUUCUUGUAGUUACAUUUCAGGUAGAUGAGCGUUAAGAUUUCCGUUAAUCUGAAAAUGAAUGUCUAAAACCACGGGAAGAAAAA
This is a long non-coding RNA of Corapipo altera (White-ruffed manakin), 4164 nucleotides long. RefSeq lists it as uncharacterized. The transcript is spliced from 3 exons. The record is from RefSeq and is a predicted model, not a curated record. NCBI's taxonomy places the organism in Eukaryota, Metazoa, Chordata, Aves, Passeriformes, Pipridae.